GUAUCAAGAGCCUAGGGCUUCUCACCAAGUGACAGAGGUGGCAUGAAUUCAGUAGAGAAGAGAGGGGCAAGAUCAUUAGGGCUGGCAGUGAGCCCCAAAGUCCCUCCCAGCCGUGGAUCCUGCCCCGGAGGACACCAGGGCUCUUUUGUAGCCGGAAUGGCACGCUGGAUGGUUCCGGAUACUCUGAUUGGCUAGGCAUCUGUUCUGAAGGGUCAGUGUUGAUUCUGAUGGACAGAUCGGCUGGGAUUGGCCCGGGGCUACUUUGUGCUAGCUAGUUCUUACUCCUGGCUUUGCCUUUUGUUUCAUUCUAAGAGAGGUGGUGGGCAGAUCAGGUGUGAAGAUUAACUUCCUGCAGCUCUGAAUGGUUGCUGGUUUUCUGGCUCUCCUCCAACAUGGCUGAUUCGGGCACACGUCAUAGAAGAAGGGAGAGAUUUUACCUUCAAGCUACACAACCAAGUGGCCGCUGUGGAGAGAAGCUGAACGGAACAUACACCAAUCCCAGGUCACCUACAGAGAUCCCAACUUAACACCCGGCACUCGGCACUCUUAGGUACUGGGAUUCAGCGGACCUUAGACCAGGGUGAGGCAAGAAGCUACGGGAAACAGCUGAGUUUCUGGCCACUCUCUUGGCUAAACGUAUGUGGUUUCUCCAAGAAGGAGCAGCGGCAGCAAGAAUGAUGGGUAAUGAAGAUGGAGCCCUUGUGAAGUGCCAGACAUAGUCCUGGGUGCCUAGCACCCAAGUGGGAGUGCAAGAGGCCACUGGGCACAGAGUCCUUUGGGACCCUAACCUCCUGCUUCUGCCCCACCCCCACUCAAUGGAGCUCUCAGGUGCUGUCUGGUUGAUUGUAUUCACCUGCCUGCCACCACCCCUACUCCUGAACUGCUCUCCUGGGAGAUAAGAUAAUCACAGCCCAUUAAUCAUGGUGGUCUGGCACAUUACAGGUGCAGAUAAGCCCACUCCCAGGCUGGCUCCCAGGGGUGGGCCAGGGGAGGUAGCUGGGGAGUUUGGCCUCAAAUUCCAAUAUCAAGUGUGUGGAGGUGGGGGUAGAGUCUGCCAUGGGCUUUGGGAUGGUGAUGCGUCGGGAAAGGCAGGUUAAUUGAGAGUCCGGAGAUCUGACUGUCCCCACUCUGUGUCUUUCGAUACACAACACCUCUCUGGGCUUCUGUUUCCACCUGUGAAAAAAAGGGAGAAGGGGACAGGGACAGCAUGAAAGGUCCUUGGAGUCUGAAGAUGCUCUGUGGCCAGCACAGGGUGGUGAAGAGUGGACUCACUUGUUGCAGGAAUAGGAACAGAGGGUGUGUGGGUGGGGAGGGGUCUGCCUUGGCUAAGGGACAAUAUGUUGGAUGGGAUUUAUUUUCCUGUCAUGGGAAGGGAGUGGUUGGUGGCCAUACAGGCUGUGUGACAGUGUGGCGGGGUAGAGAAUGAAUAGUGGUUGUACACUUUGGAGUCAUGUAACAUCCUGGCUAGGUUCUGGAUAAUGGAGUUUGAUAAGGCCCCAGUUCGGCUACUUUUCCUGCGCAGACCUUGAGUAGGUCACUCAGCCUCUGUCCUUUUAAUUUUCCCUUUUAGGAUUAUAUGAGGAUGGUGACAGACUAUGGUCUGGCAGGUUGUACCAGGAAGACCAAUGCAGCAUCCUCAGCGCCAUGCCUGGCGGGUCGCUGGCAGCAGGUGACAGGCUCAGGCGGUGCUUCAGGAGCUCCCUAGCAUAGCUUUCUGCAGCUGCCUUCCCAGAGGAUGACUAUCGGAUGUCCAAGCACUUCCCAGUUUUGCCACCAGAGGGAGCAGCUGCUGUGUCUGGGAACUGGGAGGUUCCCAGCUGGGAUGCUCCUGUCCUGGAAGCCCUUCAGCCUAGAUACUGGCUGGACUGGGGCAAUAUAUAAAUAUAUAAAUAUACACCAUC
Molecule: non-coding RNA, 1901 nt
Organism: Myodes glareolus (Bank vole)
Lineage: Eukaryota; Metazoa; Chordata; Mammalia; Rodentia; Cricetidae
Source: RefSeq, a predicted model, not a curated record